AAAAGUUGUUUACAAAAAUAACCUUGACGUUUGCCCGACCAAAACCGCAGUCCCCCUCCAUCUUUCUCUGACAUCGCUCGGUUCCUCCGCGCCACCGCGCCACGCAGUUCCUGCGCCGCCGCGCCGUGUAGGUCCUCCGUGCCGCGACGCCGCGCAGCUCCAUCAUGCCGCGUCGCCGCACAGCUCCCCGCACAGUUCCUCUGCACUUCCCCGCAGCUCCCCCCAUGCCGCACAGCUCCUAAAAAUCCCCUCUUUCCCCGCGGUGACGACAGCCAGGGUUCCGGGCGACCAACCCUAGCCGAGCGAGGCGAAUCGCGAGCAGUCGUGCUCAACUUAUCACCACUGGUCGGCGCCCAGCUUCUAUCCACUGGCCGUCUCUGUCCCGUUUGCUUCUGUCCACGGCGUGCUGGCAGCGCCGUUGCUCGAGCUCGACUCCCCCACGCCGGAAGCCGCCUCACCCUCACUGUCGGAUUCCACCUAGCCCUCGCCGCCGGACACCGCGUCGCCCUCACCGCCGGGUCCCGCGUCGCCCUCUCCGCCAGUAUUGUUGUUGGUACUGAACAUGUGGCUACUGAAACUGUGGUUAAUGUUUUUGGAGUACUGUCUAUUCUCGGUGCAAGCCUGAAUUUUUAGCUACAAUCAAGAGUAGAUAGUGGCAAUCUAGUGCUAAACUUCAAUUCUAGUGUAUCCUGACAGUGUAAAUCUUUGCUGCAUUGUGGAAAUCACACACACACAGUUAACUGGAAUUUGACUCUGAGAGGGAAUAAACUAUUGUAGUUUACUGCAGUUUAUUGCAUAAUUGUGCACUAUUCGGAGCACAAUUCAGUUUACUGCAGUUUUAUCUUCGUGUACAUGCUGUUUAGAGGGAGUAUAGUUACUGUAGAUGCCGAUGAAUGUAGUCGUUCAAAGAUGAAGCUUGGCAUUAUAUUCAGAGAUGAAACUUGGCAUUAUAAAAUACAGUAACAUUGUUGUUAACUUGUGAAUUUGCAAAAAUCAAGAGAAAAUUUUUCUGCCAAUUGUUUCAAUCAUUAUUGGAGUGUUUGCAAAAAUGAACCAACACAGUUUUCUGCCAAUUGUUUCAAUCAAGAGAACAAUUUUCUGCCAAUUGUUUCAAUAAUUAUUGGAGUGUUUGCAAAAAUGAAUCAACACAGUUUUCUGCCAAUUGUUUCAAUCAAGAGAACAAUUUUCUACUGGAUGUAGGAGUAGUCUGCUAUGCCAUAUGCCAAAAAUUCAGUUCAGCUGCCGAAAAUUCAGUUAACUGCCUUUUUUGCAAAUUUUGAUGGCCAAUAAUUUGCAUGUUCAUGGAUUGACAUGAACAUGUAAUGUAGGCUAAGUAUGACAAACAAAUUCAUCUAUGAAGAAAAAGUAGAAGUAGAAGAAGAAGAAAGAAGAAGAAAGAAGAAGUAGUAGAAGAAGAAGAAGUGGAAGAAGAAGAAUCUAGAUAAUUCAAAUAAAUCCUUCCAACUGAUUUCUGCAAUGUUUGUUAGUGUUUUUGUUUGCUGCGAACAGUUUUCAAGUGCAAAUUGUAUGUUAGUGUAUUAUCUAGCUAAAGAUUAUCUUGCUAAAGAUUACCAAGAUGCUGAAGAUUAUCAAGUUACCUAAUUGGUGCAAUUUCAAAUAAUUUCAAAUAAAUCCAAAUAACCCAACUAUUCCAAAUAAAUCCAGUCAAGUAACCCAACUAAUUCAGUUAAUUUCAGUUAACUCUCGUAGUUAACUUUCCCAUCUACAGGUUUUUGUCCAUCUACAGGGUUCAGUUAAUUUUAGUUAACUCCUGUAGUUAGCUUGCCCAUCUACAGGUUUCUGUCCGUAGAAAUUGCAAUAAUAAAGUAGUGAAGAUGCUCAAAUUUUUAUAACCUGUAGAUGCCAUGGUCAAUUGUUUUUGGUAAAGCUACUCGAGUUGCCAGCAAUGAUGAUAAGAACAAUGCAGAGUUUCAGCGGCCUGAAAGAGUUUUAGCACAUUGCUCAGCCUUCUUCCUCAAAGAAAUUGAUCUAGGAGCAAUAGGCAUUAAUACACAAUUUUCUUUAACAACAAAUUUCUGAUUUAUAACUGAGGCUAAGUACGACAAAUAAAUUCAUAUUCUUAGUCCUUGUAGUAUCCCUGUUGAUCUGUUACUUUGAAAUUAACAGUUUAAUUGGAUUCUUUCAACAGGAGUUUUGACAGCAAAUUGAUCUGGUUGGAAUUCAGAUAGCAAUAGUAACAGAGCAUUUGACAACAAAUUCAUCUGGUUGUAACUGAACUUACUUUUUUCGAACAUUUCUUUAGAGGACAGAGCAAUUGACAGAUCAAUUGUGCUUGAAAUUACAAAGCAAGCAAGCAAGGAGCCCUGCACUUCUUCUUACGAGCAGCAGCACGAGCAGGGGACCAACAACAACUUGCAGAGGAGCAGCUGAAGGAGCUCGAGCUUGAGGUCCAGGACGAGCUUGAGUGAGCUCGAGGUCCGGGCACGGCGGGAGCUCGAGGUCCGGGCACGGCGGGAACUCGCGGUCCAGGUGCUUGAGACCCAGGCGCGUGCAGGUCCUGGGCGGUCGCAGCACAAAUUCUGGAUGGCGGGAGAGGAUAUCUGCCGCACAGGCCUGGCGGCGGCAACCCAGGUCCUGGGUACCGGAGGAGCACGUCUUAGGAGACGGUGGAGCAAGCACUUUCGUGGCGCAGGUCUUGGUCGACGGACGAGCACGUCCUUGGCGGCGGCGGAGCAAGCAAUUGGGCGGCGCGGGUCCUGGGCGUCGAAGGAGCGCGUCCUGGGUGGCAGCGGAGAAGCAAUUGGGCGUCGGAGGAGCGCGCGGGCGACACGCGGAGGAAGAAGGAAGGAGACGACUUACCUGUUUGUAACAGAUUUUAAGCUAUAAGGACGUUUUUGUAAAAUUCGCAUUACACUGCACCGCUGGUGACAACUUUUUCCGGACGGAGGGAGUAUUCGGAAACGGAAGAGUAUUUUUUUAAUGAUUUUCGCGCCUUUGAGUGGGAGGCUGCAG
Molecule: long non-coding RNA, 2973 nt
Filed under: Hordeum vulgare
Lineage: Eukaryota; Viridiplantae; Streptophyta; Magnoliopsida; Poales; Poaceae
Description: long non-coding RNA (HVUL_LNC014720)
Source: RNAcentral